AUCCAACUGACGAGUCCCACAUACGGCGAAACGCACAUCCUGGAU
Molecule: non-coding RNA, 45 nt
Organism: Schistosoma rodhaini
Lineage: Eukaryota; Metazoa; Platyhelminthes; Trematoda; Strigeidida; Schistosomatidae
Source: Rfam